RNAcentral lists this ribosomal RNA (740 nucleotides) under Bacillus subtilis. Its description in RNAcentral is "bacterial SSU rRNA". It matches the Rfam family "Bacterial small subunit ribosomal RNA", at positions 51 to 775 of the family's 1533-position model. The record is from RNAcentral. Lineage: Bacteria; Bacillati; Bacillota; Bacilli; Caryophanales; Bacillaceae.
AAACUGCAGUCGAGCGGACAGAUGGGAGCUUGCUCCCUGAUGUUAGCGGCGGACGGGUGAGUAACACGUGGGUAACCUGCCUGUAAGACUGGGAUAACUCCGGGAAACCGGGGCUAAUACCGGAUGGUUGUUUGAACCGCAUGGUUCAAACAUAAAAGGUGGCUUCGGCUACCACUUACAGAUGGACCCGCGGCGCAUUAGCUAGUUGGUGAGGUAACGGCUCACCAAGGCAACGAUGCGUAGCCGACCUGAGAGGGUGAUCGGCCACACUGGGACUGAGACACGGCCCAGACUCCUACGGGAGGCAGCAGUAGGGAAUCUUCCGCAAUGGACGAAAGUCUGACGGAGCAACGCCGCGUGAGUGAUGAAGGUUUUCGGAUCGUAAAGCUCUGUUGUUAGGGAAGAACAAGUACCGUUCGAAUAGGGCGGUACCUUGACGGUACCUAACCAGAAAGCCACGGCUAACUACGUGCCAGCAGCCGCGGUAAUACGUAGGUGGCAAGCGUUGUCCGGAAUUAUUGGGCGUAAAGGGCUCGCAGGCGGUUUCUUAAGUCUGAUGUGAAAGCCCCCGGCUCAACCGGGGAGGGUCAUUGGAAACUGGGGAACUUGAGUGCAGAAGAGGAGAGUGGAAUUCCACGUGUAGCGGUGAAAUGCGUAGAGAUGUGGAGGAACACCAGUGGCGAAGGCGACUCUCUGUUCUGUAACUGACGCUGAGGACCGAAAGCGUGGGGACUGCGCGU